UCACAAUUCCCAGUUCCAGCUGCUGAGCAUUUUUAUUAUUUUUCCAUCCAACUGAUCAACAAGAAGAAAAAAUGAAGUCCAAAUCUUUUCUGCUUGCGUGUCUCUUGCUCAUCUCUGUCCUCGUUAUUGCUUGGGCGGUGCCCGAAGCAACUCAAGCUAAAGAAGAAGAGGCGCGUGAAGUGGAUGCAAGCCUACGUCACGGAUGGGGA
Molecule: non-coding RNA, 209 nt
Organism: Momordica charantia (bitter melon)
Lineage: Eukaryota; Viridiplantae; Streptophyta; Magnoliopsida; Cucurbitales; Cucurbitaceae
Source: RefSeq, a predicted model, not a curated record